GGAAGUAAAAUCGUAACAAGGUUUCCGUAGGUGAACCUGCGGAAGGAUCAUUAAUGUGUUUGGGCCUCACGGCUCUUCAUUCCGACGCUGUUCGCCUUCGGGCUGCACGCUGAGGGAGCAUAUAUCCACCCCUGUGCACACACACGGUGGCGAGCUGGGUAACGGCUCGCCGCUGAUCUUUACACACGUCUAAAAGUCAUUGUAUGUUUAUUUGAGAUAAAAACACAACUUUCAGCAACGGAUCUCUUGGCUCUC
RNAcentral lists this unclassified non-coding RNA (255 nucleotides) under plant metagenome. RNAcentral describes it as "partial contains small subunit ribosomal RNA, internal transcribed spacer 1, and 5.8S ribosomal RNA". The stretch from base 1 to 53 matches the Rfam family "Eukaryotic small subunit ribosomal RNA", at positions 1778 to 1831 of the family's 1831-position model. The record is from RNAcentral.